RNAcentral lists this ribosomal RNA (253 nucleotides) under uncultured bacterium. RNAcentral's name for it is "partial 16S ribosomal RNA". It matches the Rfam family "Bacterial small subunit ribosomal RNA", at positions 524 to 776 of the family's 1533-position model. The record is from RNAcentral.
UACGUAGGGACCGAGCGUUGUCCGGAAUCAUUGGGCGUAAAGAGCGUGUAGGCGGCUUGCUAAGUCUUGCGUGAAAUCUCGGGGCUCAACCCCGAGCGGUCGUGGGAAACUGGCAGGCUAGAGUGCGGAAGAGGAGAGUGGAAUUCCUGAUGUAGCGGUGAAAUGCGCAGAUAUCAGGAGGAACACCCGUGGCGAAAGCGGCUCUCUGGGACGGUACUGACGCUGAGACGCGAAAGCGUGGGGAGCAAACAGG